RNAcentral lists this ribosomal RNA (496 nucleotides) under uncultured bacterium. Its description in RNAcentral is "partial 16S ribosomal RNA". It matches the Rfam family "Bacterial small subunit ribosomal RNA", at positions 28 to 507 of the family's 1533-position model. The record is from RNAcentral.
GAUGAACGCUGGCGGCGUGCCUAAUACAUGCAAGUCGAGCGAACGGACCAGGAGCUUGCUUCUCUGAUGUUAGCGGCGGACGGGUGAGUAACAUGUGGAUAAUCUACCUAUAAGACUGGUAUAAUCUCGGGAAACCGGAGCUAAUACGGGAUAAUCUCUUGAAGCGCAUGGUUCGUAAGUGAAUUUCGGUCUUGCUGGCACUUAUCGAUGGAUCCGCGCUUGGUUAGCUAGUUGGUAAGGUAACGGCUUACCAAGGCAACGAUGCAUAGCCGACCUGAGAGGGGGAACGGCGCCUGUGGAAGUGAGACACGACACAGACACCUACGUGAGGCAGCAACAGCGAAGCUACCGCACUGUGCGAAAGCUUGCAGGAGCGACGCAGCGUGAGUGAUGCAGGGCUGCGGAUCGUAAAACGCUGUUAUUGGGGAAGACCAUAUUUGUCAGUAACGGUGCGUAUGUGGAGGGAAUCGAAACAGAAGGCCAGGCUUAACUCCUG